RNA transcript from Anopheles gambiae (African malaria mosquito), 3519 nucleotides. It is a transcript of the gene named succinate dehydrogenase [ubiquinone] flavoprotein subunit, mitochondrial, with no coding region annotated. Lineage: Eukaryota; Metazoa; Arthropoda; Insecta; Diptera; Culicidae. The record is from RefSeq and is a predicted model, not a curated record. The transcript has 4 exons.
GAAACGCUUCCUUGCUGUCAUGCAGGUUUGUUCGAUCGUGGUGACACUAGAGAUACAUCAAGAUUUUUAAUUGAAUUAUUUUUCAAAUUUGCUGCAAUUGUUGUGAUUGGAAAGCUUCUCAAUAAAAAUAAAACUUUUUAAUAAAUUUUACAAUACUUUAUCUGCAAGGAUUGGCUUUCUUGAGUGUACAUGUUGUUAUUGGCAGCUGUCUUCCGAUAUGACCGCGCGGCAGCCUUAGUGUGACAGGUUCUUCUGUCGUAUUUUUCCGAUUCCCGGUGUCAAAAAAAUCGCACACGAAGUCGUGCGUUGGAGUGGGAAGAUAAAAUUAGCAGUUUUCCUUUCGCUGGCAGUGUGAAUUUACUUCUCAAUCAUCUGUGAGUUGGUGCAAGAUGAGUGGAAUGAUUCGACUUCCAACGGUGCUUGCCAAGAACGCGCUUUCAGCGGUUCGAGGCUUGACUGCUGGUACGUCACAGCGCAACCUGCAUUUCACCGUUGGACAGAAUAAUGCAAAAUCGAACCCGGAUGCCAUUUCGCGAGAGUAUCCCGUCGUUGACCAUACCUACGAUGCGGUCGUUGUUGGGGCCGGCGGUGCAGGACUGCGUGCCGCUUUUGGGCUGGUUGCGGAAGGAUUCAAGACUGCCGUUAUUACGAAGCUGUUCCCUACCCGUUCCCACACCGUCGCCGCACAGGGUGGCAUCAAUGCCGCACUGGGUAACAUGGAGGAGGACGACUGGAAGUGGCACAUGUACGAUACGGUGAAGGGCUCCGACUGGUUGGGAGACCAGGAUGCCAUCCACUACAUGACGCGCGAGGCGCCGAAAGCGGUCAUUGAGCUGGAAAACUAUGGUAUGCCGUUCUCCCGCACGCCCGAUGGCAAGAUUUACCAGCGUGCCUUCGGAGGACAGAGCUUGAAGUACGGUAAGGGUGGACAGGCGCAUCGCUGCUGUUGCGUUGCGGAUCGUACCGGCCACUCGCUGCUGCACACGCUGUACGGCCAGUCGCUCAGCUACGACUGCAACUACUUCAUCGAAUACUUCGCCAUGGACUUGUUGAUGCAGAACGGCGAGUGUGUCGGUGUGAUUGCGAUGAACCUGGAGGAUGGUAGCAUUCAUCGCUUCCGUGCGAAGAACACGGUGCUGGCUACUGGUGGGUAUGGUCGUGCGUACUUCUCCUGCACCUCGGCGCAUACCUGCACCGGCGACGGUACGGCAAUGGUGGCGCGCGCUGGACUGCCCUCGGAAGAUUUGGAGUUUGUGCAGUUCCACCCGACGGGCAUCUACGGUGCCGGUUGCCUGAUCACGGAGGGCUGCCGCGGUGAGGGUGGCUAUUUGAUCAACUCGCAGGGUGAACGGUUCAUGGAGCGCUACGCGCCGGUGGCGAAGGAUUUGGCCUCGCGUGACGUUGUGUCCCGCUCGAUGACGAUCGAAAUCCGCGAGGGACGCGGUUGCGGUCCGGAGAAGGAUCAUGUCUACCUGCAGCUGCACCAUCUGCCCCCAGAGCAGCUGGCCCAGCGCCUGCCGGGCAUUUCGGAGACGGCAAUGAUUUUCGCCGGCGUUGAUGUAACCCGCGAACCCAUUCCCGUACUGCCGACCGUGCAUUACAAUAUGGGUGGCGUACCGACGAACUACAAGGGCCAGGUGCUGACCACGGAAAAUGGUGCCGAUCGUGUUGUGCCUGGAUUGUACGCGUGUGGUGAGGCCGCUUGCUCCUCGGUGCACGGUGCCAAUCGUCUCGGUGCCAAUUCGCUGCUCGAUCUCGUGGUGUUCGGUCGUGCUUGCGCCAAAACGAUCGCUGAGGAGAAUCGUCCAGGAGAGAAGGUGCAGGAUCUGAAGCCGAAUGCGGGCGAAGCAUCGGUUGCCAACUUGGACUGGGUGCGUAACGCUGACGGACAGGUGCCGACCUCGACGCUGCGUUUGAAUAUGCAGAAGACUAUGCAGACGCAUGCUGCCGUUUUCCGCGAGGAGAAAACGCUCCAGGAGGGCGUGCGCAAGAUGGGCGACAUCUACAAGACCAUCAAGGACGUGAAAGUGUCGGACAGGUCACUGGUGUGGAACUCGGAUCUGGUGGAAACGCUUGAGCUGCAGAAUUUGCUGCUGAACGCAAACAUGACCAUCGUCGCUGCUGAAAACCGUAAGGAAUCGCGCGGUGCCCAUGCUCGUGAGGACUACAAACAACGUGUCGACGAAUACGACUUUAGCAAGCCGCUCGAGGGACAGCAGAAGAAGCCGGUGGAAGAGCACUGGCGUAAACAUACGCUGACGUGGAUCGAUCCAGCCACCGGUAACGUCACCAUCGACUACCGUCCGGUCAUUGACGAAACGCUCAGCGAGGAAUGUGCUACCGUGCCGCCAGCCAUUCGGUCUUAUUAAACAAACAACAAAACAACAACCGAAAGAUGUUUGCUGUCGUGUGAUCUAUUUCGGGAGGGGGGUAUACCGCUACAACGAGGAAGAAAAGAAAAUCAGCCUACACCAUCUCACGCUAUCGCACGUUUUCCUUCUAUCGGCAAGAAGCGUGCGCGUUGCUAGCAGCUUGGCUAUUGAAAGUAUUAUUAACAGCAUACGGAUCCGAUCACACCCCAUCACUAUUUAUUGCAUCUUGAAUGUCGACAUUUUACGUAAGAGUGAAGAAGAGAACUGAGUGAAGAAAUCUAAAAAACGGCACCUUACAACAAACACAGUAAGGGUAAUGUGUGAAAAGGGUUUUGAAGCAAUGCUGCUGUAGACGACAUACCUACCAUCAAGUGUCAAUCCUCGCCCCACUGCCAGUGGCAUGAAUAAUGGAUCAAUUUUGCACAAAAUUUUGUGUUUUGCUGGCCAUUGUUCCAUUGUUCUAAUAAUGUCUUGAUCGUAUGAAGAUACCAGUGAGCGAUUUGAGAGAAUAAUUGCAACGACGAUUUAAGACGGCAACGAUAAGUUAGGAGAAGUUUUGUACGCGAAGAAAUGAAAAAAAAAACUAACGAGCCGUAUUAGUGAGAAAAGCGUAUCCUGAUUUGGAUAAUUUAUUUAAAUCCAAACCUAUUCAUUACUGUAGGCAACCAGAAACCAAAAGCAAAACAAAAAAACUAAAACCGAAAUCUUAAUUGGUGUACUUCAUUAGAUUUAGUAUGCGAAAUGCAUGAAAAAAAAGAACUAUUUGCAAAAAAAAAUAAUAAUAAAUCCCUACAAAUUGAAAAUCGAAACUGAACCAAAUGGACGAUAAUAAAAACAUGUUGGUGCACCUUGCAGCACAAAAUUAAAACACCCAUAGGGGGAUGUGUUUGAUAGCUGAUGUCCCAUGGAAAAGGUCAGAGAGCUUGCAACUGCCGAAGAUAUUCUAGCUAGCCGUUGUACACAUCACUGGUCCUUGUUUUGAUUUUCACAGUUUAAACUUCCGUACCGGAAAUCGAUCGUUUAGUUUAGGAUUAUAAUUUUUUUUAAACUAGUUUGUUAGUGACGUGAAAGCAUGUAGUUAUUUGACAGACGUAAAACAAAUUAUUCAACAAUAAAAAUUACAACACCACACAACAAUCACUACAAA